Molecule: RNA transcript, 6507 nt
Organism: Anguilla rostrata (American eel)
Lineage: Eukaryota; Metazoa; Chordata; Actinopteri; Anguilliformes; Anguillidae
Gene name: TRIO and F-actin-binding protein-like
Exons: 19
Source: RefSeq, a predicted model, not a curated record
CGGUUCCGGAGCGUGAUGAGUGGGCGUGUGUGCCCCGCCCGGAGAAGCCAUGCCCCUCCUCGAAGAGGAAGUCUGCUGCCAAAAGUUCCAGCCCAACAUCUUUGACCCCUCCCGCUGCUUCUCCUGCCUGCGGACGAAAAAGCAGCACUCUGGUGUACCUGCACAGGAGGAUUCUGACGGCUUGUCAGUGGUGAGCAGCUACUGUGAUGUCACCAGGGAUCGGCUGGGUUAUGAAGACGGCUCUCUCUGCAUCCUGAGCCCUGACUGUGCACUUUACAUUUGUGACGAAGAGGACAGCACCACCAGCACUCGGGAUCAGAGUGAUUACCCAGAGCUCAGUGGCUCCAUUACCUCAGAGGAGGAUUAUCUGCACCUGCAGGAUGCAGAGUCCCACCCCACCAUGACCCGCCUGGACCCCCCUCCCCACAGACCCAACCCACGAGCCUGGAUGGACGAGCCCAGGGGCAGGGAGAGUUUUAGCAGACACUCAGGGUCAAAAGAAGAGAGGGAGCGAGAGAGUGGCUACUUUUCUCUGGGGAGGGCAUCGGGCAUCAGAACACCUCGGGAGAAGAGUCCGUCGCCCCCUUUCCGACAUGCGGAGGCGGGCCGCCCCCUUCCCAGCACACGCAGCCCGGAACCUAAGGCUACCAUUCCCUUCCGGAAUCCUGACCUUGGAGUUCCAUCUCAGAGGCGGAGCACAGACGUGCAGAGCCCUGACCCACCACCAAUCAGCUCCUCUCCACCCCUGCACUCAGAAUCCAAUUACCGCCAGGGUCAGAGAUGCCUCAGCCCCACCCCUUUUAAAGUAGCAGAAUCCCUAGGCUCCUCCAACAGGAGGAGUGUCGAUAACUCCUACUCCAAAGGCCACACGACCUCUCACUCUCUCUCCCAGCACCAGCAGACAGGACGCUCCAGUUCUAUGCAGAGGGGAGGUACCUCACUCUCCCAGUCCACCUCUCCCUCUCGUAGCACCUCUCCAUUCAGACGGACGGAGUCCUCAGGCUCCUCCCACAGGCAGAACUUUGACUCUGCGCCCUUUUCCCAGAGGAGCAGUCGGAGGUCCAGAAGCCCCUCCCAAAACUCCUAUGGACGUGAUGUGGAUUCUGGAGGCUUGCACAGAAACCUUAAAUCAGCUGUGAGCACGGUUGCUUCCAGAGUGCAGUCCAGCUCAUUUGAACACCUGAAGAACUCUCUGAAUUUAACUGAUACAAAAAACUUGUCAAUUAGACAUAAGCGCAGUGCCUCUCCUGUCAGGGAUGGCUAUGGCGGCCCCAAUCAGACGCUUUUGUGCAAAACUGAGACAGAUACCUUCUCCAAUGGUGUUUCCCGAGACAGUUGUAGUUUCUCCCCCUCAAGAAGAGGCUAUGACUCACCCAGCCAAUCCCUUCUGCGUAAAACUGAGACUAAUGCCUCCUCCAAUAAUCGUGUCCAUGACAGUCGUAGCUCCUCCCCCUCCAGGAGAGGCCAUGACCCACCCAGCCUAUCCCUUCAGCGUAAAACUGAGACUAAUGCCUACUCCAAUAAUCGUGUCCAUGACAGUCGUAGCUCCUCCCCCUCCAGGAGAGGCCAUGACCCACCCAGCCUAUCCCUUCUGCGCAAAACUGAGACUAAUGCCUCUUCCAAUUAUCGUGGUCUUGACAGUCGUAGCUCCUCCCCCUCGAGGAGAAGCUAUGACCCACCCAACCAAUCCCUUCUACGUAAAACUGAGACCAGUGCCUCCUCCAAUAAUCGUUUCCAUGACAGUCGUAGCUCCUCCCCCUCCAGGAGAGGUCAUGACCCACCCAGCCAAUCCCUUCUACGCAAAGUUGAGACUAAUACCUGUUCCAAUUAUCAUAGUCGUGACAGUCGUAGCUCCUCCCCCUCGAGGAGAGGCUAUGACCCACCCAACCAAUCCCUUCUGCAUAAAACUGAGACUAAUGCCUCCUCCAAUAAUCGUGUCCAUGACAGUCGUAGCUCCUCCCCCUCCAGGAGAGGCCAUGACCCACUCAGCCAAUCCCUUCUACGCAAAGUUGAGACUAAUACCUCUUCCAAUUAUCGUAGUCGUGACAGUCGUAGCUCCUCCCCCUCGAGGAGAAGCUAUGACCCACCCAACCAAUCCCUUCUGCAUAAAACUGAGACUAAUGCCUCCUCCAAUAAUCGUGUCCAUGACAGUCGUAGCUCCUCCCCCUCCAGGAGAGGCCAUGACCCACCCAGUCAAUCCCUUUUGCGCAAAACUGAGACUAAUGCCUCCUCCAAUUAUCGUGGUCAUGACAGUCGUAGCUCUUCCCCCUCGAGGAGAGGCUAUGACCCACCCAACCAAUCCCUUCUGCGUAAAACUGAGACUAAUGCCUCCUCCAAUAAUCGUGUUCAUGAUAGUCGUAGCUCCUCCCCCUCAAGGAAAAGUUAUGACCCACCCAACCAAUCCCUUCUGCGUAAAACUGAGACUAAUGCCUCCUUCAAUAAUCGUGCUUGUGACAGUCAUUGCUCCUCCCCCCCGAGGAGAGGCUAUGACCCACCCAACCAAUCCCUUCUGAGCAAAGCUGAGACUAAAGCCUCUUCCAAUAAUCGUGUCUGUGAUAGUCGUAGCUCUACCCCGUCCAGGAAAGGAUAUGAGCCAGCCAGCCAAUCCCUUCUGUGCAAAGCUGAGACUAAUGCCCCCUCCAAUUGUCAUGUCUCUGACCCUCAUAGUUCCUCCCCCUCCAGGAAAGGCUAUGACAUGUCUCUUUUGAGGAACACAGCCAAUAGUGAGGCCAGAUCCGACUCAUCUGAUGUGAAGAACACCUGCAGCCAGGGUAGAGCUGACGCCAACCCUGCCUACAUGAGGAAAGCCAAUCACAAAGACACAAGAUCAGACCCAAGCACUUCACCUGGCUCCUGGCGUGGCUCCACCCUUUCCCUCCGUAGCCCUCCCACCUCCCGAAGCUCCUCCCCACCCAGGCGGAACAAGGGGGCAGACGUCCCCACCAACUCCUUGAAAUCCAGUAGUCAGUCGACCAAUCGGGGCAGCAGCAGGAGCAGAACCAACGGUAGACGAGAUCUGGAGGCUCGUAGCCCUUCUCCAGAGUACAGAAGAUCAUCCAGUCGCAACAGGAGUCCCUCCCCUCAAAGGAGGAGGCGUGCGUCAUCCCAGAGUUCCUUGUCUGAGUCUGAGUCCAGCCACAUCUCCGGAGGGUCUGGGGCUGUGGGGUUCAACAAGGAGGAGUAUGCCAUGAUGGCUGACCUCCCGAAGGUGAAGACGGUAUUCCAGCGGGAUGGGCCAGGGCAGCUGCGAAGAGCCCAAAGCCGCAGCCCAGAGAGGGAGGAACGCUAUAAACCAGCCAGCCACUCUCGGGAGAAGCACAGCUACUGGGAACGGGAUGAGUCUGGCGAGCGAGGGAGAUUGAAUGACAGAGAGAGGGACCCGAGGGAUGGGCUGGAUGGACUGGGCAGGCUGUCCCGAAGCCACUCCUCCACCUCAGUGCACACGCAGGUGUACCUGGCUGACAGACCGGCUGGUAAUUUCUCCAGCCUUCAGACUGAUGCAGCAGAUGGACUACGCACUGGAAAGCCUGACCUCCUUAACUUCAAGAAGGGAUGGAUGUCAAAACUGGACGAGAAUGGAGAGUGGAAGAAGCACUGGUUUGUGCUGACAGAGGCCGGGCUGAGGUACUACAGAGAUUCCGGGGCGGAGGAGAAAGAUGACCUUGACGGAGAGAUCGACCUGAAAUCCUGCGUGAAGGUGUCCGAGUUUGAUGUGGAGAAGAACUACGGCUUCCAGAUACAGACUCGGGAGGCGGUGUUCACGCUGUCGGCCAUGACGGCGGGCAUCAGGAGGAACUGGAUUGAGGUUCUGAGGAAGAGCAUUCGGCCCAGCAGUUCCCCUGACCUCACACAGUUGCCUGACAGCAGUAGUGAUAAGGAGAAUUCCCACUGCCUGUCCCGCCCACUUUCGUCUCGCUGGUCAUCAACCCGGCAACCCCACUGUGACCCCAGUUCAGAGGUCACCACCUCUGCAGCCACACCGCACCGAUUUGACUACGUAGAACUGGCUCCCGUGCCAACAGCCUCUCCCCCACCAGCCGCCAAUCAGAGGGAGGGGCCAGAGCAGGUCACCGGCAGGGAGACGGGCCACAGCCAAUGGGAGGCCCUGUUGCACAGGAAGGAGGCGGGCUCUGGCUCUAACCAGAAGCUGCGAAUCGAGGAGGAGAUUGAGAAGAAGUGGGCGGAGUUUGAGAAGCUGCCCUUAAAGGAGAUGAGAUCGCUGCCACUGAUUGGCUCUCGUACUGGCCAUCAAGCCAACGAGGCGCUGCAGAGGGAGGUAGUGGCGUCUCUGAAGCAGCAGCUGGAGAGGUUGAGGAGCGGGGGAGGGGGGGCGGGGGGGAGGGGCGGGGGAGGGUGUGGGCUGGAGGCGCCGUGCGGCCGCAGUCUGGCCGCGAUGGAGAAGGCCCACACGCAGGCGCUGGAGGAGAUGCAGAAACAGCACGAGCGCGAAACCAGGAAGUUGGAGAGGGACAGAGACAGGCUGCUGUGGGAGGAGACUCAGGCCACUGCACAAGCGAUGGAGGUGCUGAAGAAGGCGCACAGGGAGGAGCAGCAGAGGGAGGUGGAGAGGGUCAGGAGGCUGUGCGGAGGAGGUGGUGAUACUGAGACUCUGCACGCACAGCAUCAGUCAGAGAUGCGGGACCUACGGAGGGAGCUGGACAGCCUGUCAGAGAGAUACUCCCAGAAGUGCCUGCAGCUGAACAGGGCUGAGCAGAGCAGCGGGGAAAGAGAGAGGGAGAUCAGCCGCAGGGAGAGAGAGAUGGAGCAGCUGAGGAAGGAGAACCAGGAGCUACAGUCCAGUCUGAUGGAGGAGAUCAGCCACAUGCGCACCAAAGGUCAGGGGUCAGAGGUCAUCUCCCCAGACAACUGUGAGCGAAACUCCUGUGAACUAGAGGUGCUGUUGCGAGUGAAGGAGAAGGAGGCGCAGUACCUGUACAGGGAGAUCACCUGCCUCAGGAACGAACUGCAGUCUCUACACAUGGAGAAGCAGACAGCCUGUGACCGCUACAAGGAGGUGUACGCAGAGAUGAACCUGAUCAAGAGCCGCAGCGAGCAGGAGAUAGAGGCCCUGAAGGACCAUCUGAAGCUUGCAUUAGCUGCACUGCAUGAGAGAGAACUGUUUGGGAACAGCCUGGAGCACUGAGACUCACACAGGUACUCAAUACUGAAGCACUGAAACUCACACAGGUACUUUACUAAAGCACUGAGACACACAUGUACGCAAUACUGGAGCACAGCUACUCAAUGCUGGAGUACGGAGUCUCACACAGGUACUCAAUGCUGGAGCACCGAAAUUCACACAGGUACUCAAUAUUGGAGCACUGAGACUCACACAGUAACCAGGGCAAUGAAGAGAUGGUCCCUAAGGAACGAAAAAGCCUUCCAGUGCUGUGGAAGAUGCAGAUAGUGCCUUAGCUUUCAAUCAAUCAGCCAAUGAGCAGUGAAGACUGGCUGAUCAGUUACAUACACUGGGUCGCCCAAAUAUGAAUCUGCACUUUUUUAUCUUUGGGUUUUUUAUUGAGUGUGUGAGCGAGUGUGUGUCUGGGGGGAUGGGGUUAUUUUUAAGAAAUACUUUUUUAUGGAAUCAUUGUGUCUGUCCCGUGGAGAGUGUGUCUAGGUGCAGUGCAAUACAGUACGUUUUGGAUUUUUAGUUUUUAUUUUUUGUUGCCUGUCUGAUGAAACCAUUUGCAUGUCCAAUUCACCUGACACAGAUCAGAUUUAUUAUACCAUUCCGUGAACUAUCAAACCUACAUGACAAAGGCUUUAUUGUCUGUUUAAUUCAGUAGCCAUGGUUUAUGUUAGGUUAGUGGGGUGAGAUAAUCAUGAUUUUGGUCAGCAAAUCAUAGAUUAUCUUCACGUUUUAUUUUUUGAUUACUUUUUUUUUUUUUUUUUUUUUAACUUUUUGCAAAUGUAAAAGUUUUGAAAAUGAGAGACGGGUUGUCUGAGUCUUAAGUAGAGCCACGGAGGAAGAAUGUUUUACAGCUGUGCACUUAAUGCUGAAAUAAGUGGGACAUAUGGAUAAAUGCUGUUCCUCAUGAAACGCCAGUCACUGGGAGAAUCAGAGAACCUAAAGCGGACACAGACGCUGGGGGGAGGAAGAGCUACACUGCUUAUCUCAUUCUGUGCCUGACAGUCUACAGAGUUGCACCGCAGCUUUCUUACAUUGCUCAGCUAUGAUCCGUCAGGACGGUUGAAAUGACCAUUUGUACUGUUCACCGCUGACCCCUUCCAUUUAAAACUGAAGAGGAGAUGGAGGCAUAAUAUUUGACGUGUGUCAGACCAGCUGGAUCUGAGUGUGAGUGAGUGUAUGAAUGCGCCACAAUGACCUGGUGUUGCUUCAAUGAGCCAAUGUUUUUAUGUGAUGUGUGAAGAGCUAUGAGGAGGUGAUCAACUGGAUAUCUGUCUUUCUAAAAAAAUGGACAGAAUGUGUUUUUUCCCACAUAUUUAAAGUACACAUGUCUAUAUGUAAAGUACUGUCAUUUUACAAUCAAUAAAAUAAAGGUUAAA